GGACACUGUGGCCAGGACAGCAGUCCGGGAGCUCAGCAAAGCGGCCAGGCCCCAACCAGAGGACGCUGCUGGCCACACACCAGGGAGACUGCCCCAGACUAUGGCCACAGACAUGUCCACUGUCAGCUAACGGGCCCAUUCAGGAAUGUAAGGACCAGGCCCAGGACCACACACGGUCCCCCUCACAGUGAGAGGGGAUGGGGCCCAGGAGGCUGCCUUCCCCCGCCCCCAGAGGCAGAAGAACACAAGCGUGGGGCGGGGGCCAGUCCCCAGCUGCCGGGAAGAUGAGUGUAUGCGAUGAGCCUCUGAGGCUUCUUAAGGGAGGCAGCCCAAUGGACCUCCGGAUCUUCCCCCACUUCCCAGAAGGCCCACACCAGCUCCUGCUCACAGACAUACGGUCGGCUCUGUCUGCAAGUCCUUGGUCCAACCCCCUUCAAGUCCAGCAGGUGCUUCACCCCAGCUCGGGUUGCUACCUCCAGGAAGUCCUCCUUGAUGUCCAGGCCCACGCCCCCCCCCCCACGCACUGCCCAGCUGCCCUUGUACCUCACUAGACCACGUGCAACCCCUCCACAACGCACGCAGUCCAGGCCCUCUGCCUGCAGCCUCGGUGUCCUAGAAACCUGCAUCUAAGGCACUGGACAGAAAUGGUGUUGUGUCGUGGAAGAGCCCUACUAUAUUACAGGUGUGUUUCCUAGAAACAAGCCUUGGCAGAGGCUCUCAAGCUUCCAGGUCCUAACCUUUUGUUCCAGCCUACUUCCUACCAGCACCGUGACCUUGGACAGGUCAGCUAACUUCGCUGGGCGUCUCCCACAGGCCUGGCUGUGCUGGGCCCCUCCUUGAGACACGUUCUUAUCGGAAACAAGUAGGAAGCACAUCUGUGCUCAUCUCACAGUGGCGGACGGUGAAGCGUCAGCCGGGCUGUGAGCUCACUGGGACUGUUUCCCCGCCCCAAACCCCCUCGGAGUGUCCGCCUGCCCGUUAACGCCCGGGCCCCAGCUCCUGCCAAUCCCCCGGCCAGCACGGGCAGACCGGCCCCAUGGCUGCUCAGGGAUGUGUGUGGCAGAGGGAACCCCGGUGGGGAUGCACCGUGAACAACGUGCCCUCGCCUCGCACGCAGCCCCGGCAGGAGCUCCACUCACGCCUGCCGCAGAAGUAAACCGUGUGGGCGAGAAGCAUCAAGCCAAUGGGGCCAGGCGAACAGAGGGGACAUCAGCAUGCGACUGCCGUGGAGGAACUGGGCAGGGAGAGGCACGGAGGCUACAGCGGUGCGGCCACGGCCAAGGAAACGGGAAGGACGGACCCUUCCUGCCCGAGGUCAGAUGCCUGCCCAGAGCAGGGGUGGGGGGCACCCUCCUGCGCACUUGAUCGAACCACCCCGGGAAACACACACGACCACUUUCCACUGCAGCUCCUUGUGGUGGGUGACGCAGGGCAGUCUGCAAAGCUGAGGGUCCCACUGAGGGGCAGGUGAGGUGGGGAUGCACUUGGUGUGGGUUUCAUGGGACACACGUAUGAUGUGGGUGGUCACCUGCUGACCCUUGGAGGGGCAGUGGCUGCCAGGGACAUCCUGCUUCCACAAGGUGGGGAGGGGCAGGGCUGAAGGGCCCCCCGGAAAGGACAGGACCCCGCUGUCCCACCAGCCAGGGAGCAUGUGGGCAGCACAGGCCAAACUGACCCAAGGAAAGGCCUUGCUCUCCUGUUGUUCUCGGCACACAAUCCUGUGGCGGCGUGGGGGCUGCUGUCCCGCCAGAACAGCACAGGGAAAUGCCCAAAGAUAAGGGGGCGCCGCCGUGAGAGAGCAUCAGCAAGUUAAUGAACAAAACAGUUUUCUGAUAUCCUGGCUUUUUAAAACCAGUGAUUUGUUAUGAUUUCCUUAAUCAUUCCAAGUAAAUGUUCACGUUGAACUCUGA
Mustela lutreola (European mink) is the source of this 1910-nucleotide long non-coding RNA. RefSeq lists it as uncharacterized. The record is from RefSeq and is a predicted model, not a curated record. The transcript has 2 exons. Lineage: Eukaryota; Metazoa; Chordata; Mammalia; Carnivora; Mustelidae.